GACGAACGCUGGCGGCGUGCUUAACACAUGCAAGUCGAACGGAAAGGCCCUGCUUUUGUGGGGUGCUCGAGUGGCGAACGGGUGAGUAACACGUGAGUAACCUGCCCUUGACUUUGGGAUAACUUCAGGAAACUGGGGCUAAUACCGGAUAGGAGCUCCUGCUGCAUGGUGGGGGUUGGAAAGUUUCGGCGGUUGGGGAUGGACUCGCGGUUUAUCAGCUUGUUGGUGGGGUAGUGGCUUACCAAGGCUUUGACGGGUAGCCGGCCUGAGAGGGUGACCGGCCACAUUGGGACUGAGAUAGGGCCCAGACUCCUGGGGGAGGCAGGAGUGGGGAAUAUUGCACAAUGGGCGGAAGCCUGAUGCAGCAACGCCGCGUGCGGGAUGACGGCCUUCGGGUUGUAAACCGCUUUCGCCUGUGACGAAGCGUGGGUGACGGUAAUGGGUAAAGAAGCACCGGCUAACUACGU
Molecule: ribosomal RNA, 467 nt
Filed under: uncultured bacterium
Lineage: Bacteria
Description: partial 16S ribosomal RNA
Rfam family: Bacterial small subunit ribosomal RNA
Source: RNAcentral